Cercocebus atys (sooty mangabey) is the source of this 2098-nucleotide long non-coding RNA. RefSeq lists it as uncharacterized. The transcript has 2 exons. The record is from RefSeq and is a predicted model, not a curated record. NCBI's taxonomy places the organism in Eukaryota, Metazoa, Chordata, Mammalia, Primates, Cercopithecidae.
AGAGUGAGACUCCAUGUCAAAAUAAUAAUAAUAAUAAUAACAUACUAUACAAAUGUUCAGGAUUAUGAUUAAACUGAUAAGAACAGACACUACACUUGAUCUUAGCCAAAAGGCCAAGAAGCGAUAGGAUUAUGAUUAUACAUCAAACUGAAUUCUUUUCCAAAUAUUUGCUGAGUAUCCUUGGACAAAUCAGCGUAAACUUGUUCUUUCAAAAAAUAAGCAAUAAGGGGCUGAAGUUUAUGAACCAAACUGAAGCUGUAAUUUGCUUAUCCUGUAAAUGAAUUUCUUCAUUUGAGGCCUGUGAUUAUUAAAAGUAGAUUGACAGCUGCAAUUGACAUUACAACUCAUUAGGUUUUUGGAAAUGAUGCACCAAAGUGACUACAGCUACAGGGGGUCCUCAUUAUCCAUGGAUAAGCAGUACUGGAAAUGACGUUUUCAAUGAAUGUGCUUCCUACAGUGGGUUAAGUCUCCAUGAUGACCUUCAGUACUUUUCAAUAUUCAAAUCCUUGUGUAGCCCCCUUCCACCCUGUACCUGAGCUGGCCUGUGAAUCACUUUAACCAACAGAAUGUGAAGAAGGUGAUGCCAAGCCAGUUUGGGACCCAUAUCAUUGGAAGCAGCUUCUGCUUUUGUACCUUCGGAAACCUUGAGUUGCAAUGUAAGAAGUCUGGCUACCUUCCUACAUGGAGAAGAAGGGGCCUUGAGACAAUAUGGAGAGAAAGAGAGAGGCCCCAGCCAUCCCAGGGCUCCCAUUCAUCUCAGCCUUGUAGCUGUCCAUGUGAAAGUAGCAGAUAUCCAGCUUCACAUUCAAGAAAAAAUCUUUCCAUUUAAAACGGUAACUUAGUCCUUAAAAGUUAGCAGUAGUGAUAUUGUGGGAAUCCCAUAGAAAGCAUCACUUGAGAGACGGUUACAACAAAUCCAGCCCAUUCAUUGACUUGUUUGUGAAAACAGGAAGACUGUAGCGAGCGUGGAGAUAUGAAAACCUCCUAGCCACAACGCUGGCAAAAGUACAAAUUUGCCCAACUUGUCUGAAAAGUAAUUUAGCAGUAAGUAUCCUGAGUCUUAAAAAUGUUACUCCGCUGGUGGGAAUCUGUCUUAAGGGAAUAUUUAGACAUGUGUAAAAAAGAUUUAUGCUCAAAGAGUCCAUUGUGGCAUUAUAUAGAAUGGCAACAAAAUGUCUUAUAACGUAGGAAUGUUUACAUAUAAACAGGAUGGAACAUUAUGCAACCGUUCAAUUAUAUUUGCAAAAAAUAUUUAAUGACAUAGAAAAAUGCUCUUACAUUCUGUAUGCUCUUUGAUGUAAAGAAAAAAAUAAGGAAAAUAAAGAAAAAUGCUUUUAUUACCCGAGAAAGCAAAACACAAAACUAGUUUAAGUAUUUUACGUAUGAUAAAAAUUUAUAUGGAGUGUAUGUAUCUACAUAUAAGUAGGCCUUAACAGACAGAGAUACUAAAAUGUUAAGCUUAUCUUUGAGCAGGAGUGAAGAUAGAUCUUUUUUUUUUUCUUUCAUUACAAUUUAAUGUAUUUUCCAGUUUUUAAUGUUUAUGACAUUUAUAAUCAAUAAAAGGUAGUAAGAUGGGAAAAGAUCAAUGCUACUAGUGUAAAUCCAUCAGAUGCUUAUACUAAUGUCACAGGUAAAAUAGUAAAAUAUAGAUUUUGAAUCCCCCAACCAAAACACACAGGCAGGCAAAGAGUUAUGAAGUCAGGAGCUAUUUCAGAUUCUUUAUUAUCACAAAGUUGCUAAUUGCCUGUCUUGCCUGAGAUUUGAUAUUGUUCCUACGCAUAUUUCAGAUCAAAUUACACGCCUUUCUAGCGCUAUGGUUCAUUUUAAUUCAAUUCAAGCUGUUUGAGGUAGUCCAUAGCUGACUGAUUUUGACUUUGGUGGAAGUCUUGAAGCCCAGUGACAAUUCUGGAAAAAGCUCCAUGGCCUGAAUAAUUUUUAUCACACUUAAGCCAGACCGGGAACAAGAUCUCAUUUGAACACACUCACGUGUGGGGUUAGCAGUGGAAAUGGAGGGGGGCGUGUCAUGAAGGGAACUUCCUAAUCAGAAAUUAGGAAGUGCGAGUCAUCAUUUGUAAGUUAAAAAAAAAAAAAAAAAAAA